RNAcentral lists this ribosomal RNA (800 nucleotides) under Halobacillus sp. JSM 101048. Its description in RNAcentral is "bacterial SSU rRNA". It matches the Rfam family "Bacterial small subunit ribosomal RNA", at positions 37 to 806 of the family's 1533-position model. Lineage: Bacteria; Bacillati; Bacillota; Bacilli; Caryophanales; Bacillaceae. The record is from RNAcentral.
AGGGGGGGUGCUAUACAUGCAAGUCGAGCGCGGGAAGCGAGUGGAUCCCUUCGGGGUGAAGCUCGUGGAACGAGCGGCGGACGGGUGAGUAACACGUGGGCAACCUGCCUGUAAGAUCGGAAUAACCCCGGGAAACCGGGGCUAAUGCCGGGUAAUACUUUCUUUCGCAUGAAGGAAAGUUGAAAGAUGGCUUCUUGCUAUCACUUACAGAUGGGCCCGCGGCGCAUUAGCUAGUUGGUGAGGUAACGGCUCACCAAGGCGACGAUGCGUAGCCGACCUGAGAGGGUGAUCGGCCACACUGGGACUGAGACACGGCCCAGACUCCUACGGGAGGCAGCAGUAGGGAAUCUUCCGCAAUGGACGAAAGUCUGACGGAGCAACGCCGCGUGAACGAUGAAGGUCUUCGGAUCGUAAAGUUCUGUUGUUAGGGAAGAACAAGUACCGUGCGAAUAGAGCGGUACCUUGACGGUACCUAACGAGGAAGCCCCGGCUAACUACGUGCCAGCAGCCGCGGUAAUACGUAGGGGGCAAGCGUUGUCCGGAAUUAUUGGGCGUAAAGCGCGCGCAGGCGGUUCCUUAAGUCUGAUGUGAAAGCCCACGGCUCAACCGUGGAGGGUCAUUGGAAACUGGGGAACUUGAGGACAGAAGAGGAGAGUGGAAUUCCACGUGUAGCGGUGAAAUGCGUAGAUAUGUGGAGGAACACCAGUGGCGAAGGCGACUCUCUGGUCUGUUUCUGACGCUGAGGUGCGAAAGCGUGGGUAGCAAACAGGAUUAGAUACCCUGGUAGUCCACGCCGUAAA